AUGGCAUUUUUUUCAUCUCCGAAAAGAAGAAUCAUUUUUCGCCAUUAGUUGUUUCAAUAUGUGUCACGGAAGACCAUAUUGUAACCUCUCGUUCAACUUGGGUGAUUAUUGUUAUAUCCCUCCGCCAUUUAGAUACGUGUUGACACUAGAAGUAACAUUAACCAUCUUGUUGACUCCGCCCGAAGCUAUGCCUUGCUUGACCACCCACUUUGAUGAAGGGGGCAUCAAUAGCCCACGCCCUUAACCACCCGCUCUCAGCACCCUGGGGUAAGGCCAUUCACUUCUUUCAGAAAGGGCUAGCCACUUGCUUUUUAAGUGUGAACACUCCUCAAGCACGAAUCCGCCCUCAAGGUCAUGUUGGGCCCACCAAAGUGUAACACUCUCAUACCUAUUAAAAUUCUUAGUCCUUUAAAAUGAUGAAAUUAUAAUUUAAUAAAUGAUAAAAUUAUGUUUUAACCUCUCCAAAAAUUUUAAACUUUAAAAAAACACCUUCUAAUUUUUUUAAAAUUCCCUUUUAUAUUUACUCAAACAAAUAAAUUUAGUUUUUAUAUUUUAAAAACCUUUUUCUCUAAAAUCCUCACCCAAACCCACUCUAAAAAUAACUAUAUAAUGUGUUGAACACAAAAACAAGAAAAUUCAUCACAAAAGAGAAAUCUCAUCUCACUCUGUUUUUUUUCUCCAAACAAAAAUGAGCUUCACAAAGCUACUUGACCUUUUCCAUUGCCUUGCCAAACUUAUUUCCAAUCUUUUACACUCUUUACGUCUCCCUGGUUUCAGCCAACCCUACAUUCCAUGGCGUGACACGUUGGAUACCGACACUUCCACCUUUGCCUUUGCUCUCCUUAUCGGUGAACACCUACCGGUCAUCAAGUUCUCCGACCUCAUCGACCCGCCAGAUAACUGCCCGUCUGUUUGUUCGAGUUUGAAGGGGAGGAUGAGAUUAGGCAGCUUAUGAAUUGUCGACAUAUAUUCCAUGGAAGAUGUUUGGACCGUUGGAUGGGAUAUGAUCAACAAACAUGUCCUCUUUGUAGAACCAAUUUGGUUCCCCAUGAUAUGGAAGAAAUAUUCUAUGAGAAGCUAUGGGUCCGUCUGGGACCACUGAAUUCUUUGUUGAUUAUCAUCAAAGCAAUGCUUUGUAGCCAUAGCUAUCAACUUUAAAGAGGUACAAUAAAAAAAAAGGUAAACUACCAAUAAUUACUCCACUAUAAAAAAUUAUAAAAUGCUCAGCUAACUAUUUUGGUUCGUCAUAAUUUGAUAGCUUAUAAAAUUGAUAUAAUAACAACUCUAAUUUUCA
RNAcentral lists this long non-coding RNA (1294 nucleotides) under Gossypium barbadense (sea-island cotton). RNAcentral describes it as "long non-coding RNA (GBAR_LNC014972)". The record is from RNAcentral. Lineage: Eukaryota; Viridiplantae; Streptophyta; Magnoliopsida; Malvales; Malvaceae.